Molecule: long non-coding RNA, 1429 nt
Filed under: Vigna radiata
Lineage: Eukaryota; Viridiplantae; Streptophyta; Magnoliopsida; Fabales; Fabaceae
Description: long non-coding RNA (VRAD_LNC012125)
Source: RNAcentral
UCUAUGGUUACCAGUGGUGUUUGUCUGAUACCCGACUAGAGUUAAUGUAAUGUUAGACUAUUUCUUAUAUACUCUGAGCGUAUAUAUGUUCGUGUUCGAUCUUUAAACCAAGUGCAUUAAUUUUCCGAGGUUCCCUUUAAUUAUACUUAACAACAUUUUUAAUUACUAUUUACUAUAGAUUCGGACUUUUUGUGGUUAGAUUACAGUGGGUGUUGCUCCCUCCACCUCCCCUUUUGCUCCCUUUACCUCCCCAUUCUAUUUUUACCCUUCACUUUAUUUUUCUAUUCCUAUUUUAUCCUUUUUAAUGAAAAAUUUAUUAGGUUAAAGAAUUUUUACUUACUACAUCACAUAACCUAUUAUUAUUAUUGAUUCUCUUUCACUAUUUUACGUUUUCAUUCUUACUGCUUUGUCGUGUAAUUAUUUCUCUUCUUUGUGGAAUUCUCUCUUCUUCUAUUUAAUGUUAGAGAGUGUGGUGAGUGAGAGAUUGGUAAAAGGAAUUGUUCUCCCUUACAAAAGUUCAAUCAUCUCUGCAUAGGAAGAAGGUAGAAGUUCAAUCAUCUCCGCGCUUUGAAGGCAGCGCUGUGAAGGUAGGACUAUGUAAAAAAAAAAAGGUGCGUGAAUAAACCCCCGUAAUGUCCAAACCCACCUUGAAAGGAUAUGAGCAUUUGUUGACGAAUAUGCGUCAUCCGUUUUAAAAGGCCAAACAUGCGACAUCCGUUCUAGCCUUAUGGGUCAUCGUCUUCCUGCACAGAACAUACAGAACACAGGCACCGGACAGCCAAACACAAGCAAACCAUGCACACAUUGAUCUAAGAUCACGCAUAUUAAAGACUAAAAAUCGAAACACCUGGUAGAGGAAUGCCCCGAUCUACACCACGCACCAUUAAUGCGAACCACCGCACCACGAACAACACACCACCACACCAGACCACUGUACCGCAUUGCCCCAAGACAGAUAGUAGAGUUUGGAAAGUAUGGAAGAAGUCACCGUGACGAAAAUGGGAGAAAAAGAAACGGAACUUAAAGUUUCAAGAGGGGUGGGGGAGUGAGAGCGUGACGGAAAUGGAAUAAAAAGAAUGAAGGGGUGCGGCUGGGAGAGAGUAAAAGUGAUAAAAGUUUAAAAGGUUAGGGUAGGGUUUAAGGUUAUUAAAAGUAAAAAAGUAAAAAAAUAAAAAAUAAAAAGGUUAAAAAAAGGAAAAGUUAAAGAUUAGUUUUGUAAUAAAUAAAAAUAUACAGAAAAUUGGGGAGGUACAGGGUGGAAAGGGGGAGGUGGAGGGAACAACUCCGAUUACAGUGAACAUUAGACACACCUGGUCCAACAAUACUUUAUCUGAUGUAGGUAAGGUCCAUUCAACUUUAUUUAUCUAAAAUCAUCACACAAUAUUUUAAGAUAUAUUUGUUAAUAUAAAUAUUUAUAUAUUAAUAUAUG